UUUUCGCAACACGAUGACAUAGGUUAAUGAGGCGAACCGGGGGAACUGAAACAUCUAAGUACCCCGAGGAAAAGAAAUCAACCGAGAUUCCCCCAGUAGCGGCGAGCGAACGGGGAGGAGCCCAGAGCCUGAAUCAGCAUGUGUGUUAGUGGAAGCGUC
RNAcentral lists this ribosomal RNA (159 nucleotides) under Salmonella enterica subsp. enterica serovar Infantis. RNAcentral describes it as "partial 23S ribosomal RNA". It matches the Rfam family "Bacterial large subunit ribosomal RNA", at positions 148 to 310 of the family's 2925-position model. The record is from RNAcentral. Lineage: Bacteria; Pseudomonadati; Pseudomonadota; Gammaproteobacteria; Enterobacterales; Enterobacteriaceae.